GAUUUGAUCAAUUAGGGUCCUGGCUAUUUUUCAGGACAUAGCUGCACCUGAAUAUAACCAAAGCCUGACUGU
Molecule: microRNA precursor, 72 nt
Filed under: Mus pahari (shrew mouse)
Lineage: Eukaryota; Metazoa; Chordata; Mammalia; Rodentia; Muridae
Description: miRNA (MGP_PahariEiJ_G0006553.1)
Source: RNAcentral